This is a long non-coding RNA of Mustela erminea (ermine), 551 nucleotides long. RefSeq lists it as uncharacterized. The record is from RefSeq and is a predicted model, not a curated record. Lineage: Eukaryota; Metazoa; Chordata; Mammalia; Carnivora; Mustelidae. The transcript is spliced from 3 exons.
CUAAACAAUACAAGUCACAGCCUGUUCUAUGAGAAUACAAGGGUCUUAGGGAAAUAAUAUAUGGAUAUAUAUGUUUUCUUCCAUCAUUCAAGCAAAUAAGGAUGAAGAUUUCUACUUCAGUGCCAGUUACAGAGGCUCAAAGUCCAAGAUUGAGGUGCCAACAUGCUUGGGUUCUGCUCCAUCAGGAAAAGGGCAGGAAAGGAUAGCACAAAGAUGUUCCAACAAGUAACUUCUCACCGCUGCAUCCAGUCAACUUCACGUAAAGAUACAAACUUCAAAGUAUUUUUUCUUUUCUUCACACUCAUUUCAAGAUUGACACAGCCCUGACUUUACCCAGGUAUGAUAAAUCUAACUGGGAUGUGGAAGAGUGGGGGAGGGUAGAUGCACAACAACGAUCAACGAUGGAGUGCCACUGUAGCAAGAAACUACCAGAGGCAACAACACAGGCAAAUAAGCCUGGCUGUGUUCCAAUAAUCUUCAUUUAUGGAUGGUGAAAUACAAAUUUCAUGUAAUUUUUAUUAUGUCAUGAAAUAUGCCUCUUUUAAUUUUUU